Ribosomal RNA from Mustela putorius furo (domestic ferret), 111 nucleotides. NCBI's taxonomy places the organism in Eukaryota, Metazoa, Chordata, Mammalia, Carnivora, Mustelidae. The record is from Ensembl.
GUCUUCGGCCACACCAUCCUGGAUGCGCCCGAUCUCGUCUGAUCUCAGAAGCUAAGCAGGGCUGGGCCUGGUUAGUACUUGGAUGGGAGAAAAUUAUGUAAUUUGGAUUCU